Molecule: ribosomal RNA, 468 nt
Filed under: uncultured bacterium
Lineage: Bacteria
Description: partial 16S ribosomal RNA
Rfam family: Bacterial small subunit ribosomal RNA
Source: RNAcentral
GACGAACGCUGGCGGCGUGCUUAACACAUGCAAGUCGAACGGAAAGGCCCUGCUUUUGUGGGGUGCUCGAGUGGCGAACGGGUGAGUAACACGUGAGUAACCUGCCCUUGGCUUUGGGAUAACUUCAGGAAACUGGGGGUAAUACCGGAUAGGAGCUCCUGCUGCAUGGUGGGGGUUGGAAAGUUUCGGCGGUUGGGGAUGGACUCGCGGCUUAUCAGCUUGUUGGUGGGGUAGUGGCUUACCAAGGCUUUGACGGGUAGCCGGCCUGAGAGGGUGACCGGCCACAUUGGGACUGAGAUACGGCCCAGACUCCUACGGGAGGCAGCAGUGGGGAAUAUUGCACAAUGGGCGGAAGCCUGAUGCAGCAACGCCGCGUGCGGGAUGACGGCUUUCGGGUUGUAAACCGCUUUCGCCUGUGACGAAGCGUGAGUGACGGUAAUGGGUAAAGAAGCACCGGCUAACUACGUG